CCUACGUGAGGCAGCAUUGAGGAAUAUUGGUCAAUGGGCGGGAGCCUGAACCAGCCAAGUCGCGUUAGGGAAGACGGUCCUAUGGAUUGUAAACCUCUUUAGGCGGGGAGCAAUGCCGGGCACGCGUGCCCGGAGGGAGAGUACCCGCAGAAUAAGCAUCGGCUAACUCCGUGCCAGCAGCCGCGGUAAUACGGAGUAUGCGAGCGUUAUCCGGAUUUAUUGGGUUUAAAGGGUGCGUAGGCGGAUUUUGAAGUCAGCGGUAAACAGGCCGGGCGCAACACGGGCCGGCCGUUGAAACUGGGGAUCUUGAGUGGGCGAGAAGUAUGCGGAAUGCGUGGGGUAGCGGUGAAAUGCAUAG
Molecule: ribosomal RNA, 358 nt
Filed under: uncultured bacterium
Lineage: Bacteria
Description: partial 16S ribosomal RNA
Rfam family: Bacterial small subunit ribosomal RNA
Source: RNAcentral